GGCGGUGGUCGACAAGAUCCCCAGCGAAGGGGCAGUGGUUGACGAGGGUGGAGGGGGCAGCGGAGCCGCAAUUGAUGAGGUAGUUGUCAGGGGGAGAGAAGAGGUGGGAGAGGGUGGGGAAAGGAAGGAGAAGGAGGAAGAGGAAAGAGAAGAGGGUGGAAGGCAUGUUUUGAUAUGGAAGAGGGAAUUAGAUGGUGAAAUUUGGGUGGGAAGAAGAAGAGAAG
This 224-nucleotide long non-coding RNA is filed under the name Vigna radiata. RNAcentral's name for it is "long non-coding RNA (VRAD_LNC014724)". The record is from RNAcentral. Lineage: Eukaryota; Viridiplantae; Streptophyta; Magnoliopsida; Fabales; Fabaceae.